This 1037-nucleotide long non-coding RNA is filed under the name Salvia miltiorrhiza (redroot sage). RNAcentral's name for it is "long non-coding RNA (SMIL_LNC006865)". Lineage: Eukaryota; Viridiplantae; Streptophyta; Magnoliopsida; Lamiales; Lamiaceae. The record is from RNAcentral.
GUAGAAAUCCAUAAUAUUCAUUUUCUCCACAAUAUUACAAACGAAGGAGAAAUAGGAAAAAUUACACUAGAAGAGUGUAACAUACAACUUAUAAUGAAUGAAAAAAAAAAGUAUUGAUGAAAGAAACUGAAGAAACAAUUCAGUUUAUACAGUUUACGAGAAGAGUGUCACCUAAUUUUUUAAGUAUGGAUUCCCAGUCGAGUGAAAAUCAAGUAGCAAUUUCACAGGGUGAAACUGAGCCCAUCGAAAGAUCAAUCUCAAUCAAAUUAUCAUCCAUAUCUGAAAGCAAUUCUGCCUCUUCAUUUUCUGAUAGAGGUAUUUCAAUGAGAUAGUCUUCUUCCUCCACAUCCUCUAAUCCCAAUUCCUCACAUAAAUUCAAAAUCGAACUGCGCUCUAAAUUUUUUGGCCCCAACGAAAAUUUUUGGUCUUCCAAAAAUAUCAAAUUAGGCUCAAACAAACUCUCUCCAUUUUGCAACCUUUUCUUGGUGGUAGCCUCUUGUUCGAGCAGCUUAUUUGGUUGUACCAUUCUCUCAUAUUCUUUGCUUGACAUUUUCUUGCACACAAAAACGAUGUUCAAAAAUAGGAAACAAGAGGCCACUAAUUCGGAGCUAAGAGAGAAGUGGACAUACAAAGUUGAAAGAAGUGCAACAAAUAGUAAGGAGGCUCGGAAGAAACUAAGUAUGAUUGAUGUAAGAGGAUAAUGAUAUAUCAUUUUCUCAAAAUCAAGUAAAAAGUGAACGUUUUUCAGUCAUUUAAGAUUUCUGCUGAUGAAAAGUGGUCAUUUUUUUUCAAGACAUUGUAAAGAAACUAAAAAAAACACUACUUUGAUAACCACUAUGACUUACUAAUUUUUGGAGCUUCACAAAAGUUGUGACGUUUCUGCAAUAGAAGGAGAUGAAAUUUCAUUCCAUCUGAAAAUGUAUGAUGUGUUUGUUCUGAUUCUGCAAAGAUGGUGAAUACAGAUACUGAAACUUAAAAGAAUUCCUUUUCUGUGGAGAGAUAGAAGUGAGUGAUAAUAAUGAGUAAUGAUAGCCCAC